This 451-nucleotide ribosomal RNA is filed under the name uncultured bacterium. RNAcentral's name for it is "partial 16S ribosomal RNA". It matches the Rfam family "Bacterial small subunit ribosomal RNA", at positions 29 to 523 of the family's 1533-position model. The record is from RNAcentral.
AGCGAACGCUAGCGGCAUGCUUAACACAUGCAAGUCGCACGAAGGUUUCGGCCUUAGUGGCGGACGGGUGAGUAACGCGUAGGAAUCUAUCCAUGGGUGGGGGAUAACACUGGGAAACUGGUGCUAAUACCGCAUGAUACCUGAGGGUCAAAGGCGCAAGUCGCCUGUGGAGGAGCCUGCGUUCGAUUAGCUAGUUGGUGGGGUAAAGGCCUACCAAGGCGAUGAUCGAUAGCUGGUUUGAGAGGAUGAUCAGCCACACUGGGACUGAGACACGGCCCAGACUCCUACGGGAGGCAGCAGUGGGGAAUAUUGGACAAUGGGGGCAACCCUGAUCCAGCAAUGCCGCGUGUGUGAAGAAGGUCUUCGGAUUGUAAAGCACUUUCGACGGGGACGAUGAUGACGGUACCCGUAGAAGAAGCCCCGGCUAACUUCGUGCCAGCAGCCGCCGCGG